AAGUCUAUCUGUCUAAUGAGUAUCACUAUUCCAGUAUUCGCAUCCCAAUUCCUUCAUGGUGUUGCCUCUAGUAUUGCCUCUCUCCGUCUCUCGUCUCGUCUCGUCCUCUUCGCCCCUAAUUUCAGUUAAUUUCUCAGAUCUCAAAUCCCAAUUCCUCUAGUCUUGCGUCUCUCCAUCUCUUGUAUUGUCCUCUCCGCAUCUCUCCGUCUCAAUCUCUGGCCUCCGCGUCUCACGGUCUCACAUCGACGACUCUGUUCUUCAAUCUCGAUGGCCCGACCUCUCUUCCGAGUUUCGACUUCAGGUAAACAUAUAUGGCAUACUACUAAUGUUCAAUCCCUUCCUCACACUUAUGGAUCUGGAAACAAGACAUGUAAAUUUGAAAACAUGACGUGUUUCCUUGGAUCAAGUUGGUGAUUUUUGAAAUUGGGUCUUGAUUAUUUCUUGCAAUUUUGGUGCAUAUCUGGUUGCCCGGUUCAGAAAAUUGAAGAAAUCGACGUACUUGUGACUUUCUGUUGUUGAUUGUAAUUUAUAAUGUUGUAAUCUAUUUAGUGUUAAGUGUUAGGGUAUGGAAGCCUUUUAUUUCGGUUAUUUAUCGAAUAAUUGAAUUAUAAAUUCGAUUAUUCGGUAAUUUGGUUAUUAGCUAAUUCGGUUAACAGUUCGGAUACUAAAAAUGCGUUAAUUUUGAUUUUCGGUUAUAACCGAAUAAUUUAUUCGGUUCGAUUAUAAUUGAAUGCUCACUCCUACUUUAAGGCGCACUGGAAAAAAAAUUAUUUUAUAAUAUAUGAUAAAUUUAGAAGAAAUUUUAGUGUAAUGAAUAAAUUAGUCCCACUGAAAUUUUAUAAAAUUUUUAAUAUACGGGGUCAAAUUGAAUUUUUUAUAACUUUCUCAAUUUCAUGUCUUAUGUAUGCAUCUUUCUCUAAUAUUUUUAGAAGAAAUAAUAAUCUAAUUUAUAUUAUUUUUAUAACAUAACAAAUUUAAAUAUUUAUUAACAAAUUUGUGAUUAGAAAGACGUAUUAGGGAUCAAUAAGGGGUGUGCUUGUGUGUGUGUGUAUAUAUAUAUAUAUAUAUAUAUAUAUAUAUAAUAUAAUAUAAUAUAAUAUAAGAGUAGUGUGGUGCAGUUUGAGAAGUUCAAGAGCCUCUCUAAAAUUAUCACAUACGCGAAAUUGUUGGUGGGAUUCAAUUAAUACGAUUUGAUUGAUUUUUUGAUGUAGUUUCCAGACUAAUUUCGAUUUUGAAUAAUAGUGCCCAACGCUGUAGAGAGAGAUGUGGAUUAUGGAACAACUUAAUAUAUUAAUUCAUGCAUAUAAGAUUUUGGGUGGGGAAAAAGGAGAGUGGAUAUUUUAUCGGGUUUCAGGAGUGUUGAUUCUAAAGAGAGAUAUAAGGAUUAUAUGGAGACUGAAGUGUCAUUUUGUGAAAACAUAAUGUUUCUCUAGUGGAUAGUUGUUAGCCCCUUGGUGGAUUGAUACGGGCUUGACAUGCGGGACGCUCAGAUAAUAUGUCAAGUUUUGAUACUCGUUUAUGGGACAAGGCGUGUUUGUACGACAGUGUGCGGCAGCCAAGAGCGUUGUGUAAGAUUCCAACUUAUUAUGAAUAAAAUUAAAUUUUUUUUAUUUAUUAUCUUGAAAUAAUAAGGAGUUAAUUUGAUAUAAUAUUUUGGUUAUGGGNNNNNNNNNNNNNNNNNNNNNNNNNNNNNNNNNNNNNNNNNNNNNNNNNNNNNNNNNNNNNNNNNNNNNNNNNNNNNNNNNNNNNNNNNNNNNNNNNNNNAAUAUUUGUUUGUGGGUUAUGAGCCCACCAGGCUUCCAGAUUUGUUGAUUAAAUGUUCUCACAAAUAGAAUAUAUUAAAUGGAAACUGAUAUUAGCAAAAUGAAAAUUAAUAUUUUCAUGUGUUUUUAAUAUUUUCAGAUGUGUUUUUGAUAUUUUUACAUUUUUAUCUCAUAUGAGAAGAAAGUAGGUUUCACCGACAUGUGAGAUGGGAUCAUAUAAAAAUAUCAAAAACUUAUGUACAAAUAAUGUUCCCCUAACAAAAUAACAUCAAAUGACAAGUUUUAUAUUUGAAAUAUAUUAUUCAUGAAUGUUUCCAAGGGUGAAGAAGUCGCCCUUUAGGGUAGAAACGAAUAAAAAAUGGAUAAAAUCGAAUUAUCUAAUACAACCGAAUUAUUUUAAUUUUUUUUUAGUUUCAGUUAUAUUCGAAUUUUUGAUCGGUAAUCGGUUUUAGAUUCGAUUUAAAAAAAUAGGCUAUUCGAAAUACCUGAAAAAUUGAAAUUAUUAAUUAAAAAAUAAAAAUUUUAUAAUUAUAUCUGAAUGAUAGUACAAGUCUAUCUGUCUAAUGAGUAUCACUAUUCCAGUAUUCGCAUCCCAAUUCCUUCAUGGUGUUGCCUCUAGUAUUGCCUCUCUCCGUCUCUCGUCUCGUCUCGUCCUCUUCGCCCCUAAUUUCAGUUAAUUUCUCAGAUCUCAAAUCCCAAUUCCUCUAGUCUUGCGUCUCUCCAUCUCUUGUAUUGUCCUCUCCGCAUCUCUCCGUCUCAAUCUCUGGCCUCCGCGUCUCACGGUCUCACAUCGACGACUCUGUUCUUCAAUCUCGAUGGCCCGACCUCUCUUCCGAGUUUCGACUUCAGGUAAACAUAUAUGGCAUACUACUAAUGUUCAAUCCCUUCCUCACACUUAUGGAUCUGGAAACAAGACAUGUAAAUUUGAAAACAUGACGUGUUUCCUUGGAUCAAGUUGGUGAUUUUUGAAAUUGGGUCUUGAUUAUUUCUUGCAAUUUUGGUGCAUAUCUGGUUGCCCGGUUCAGAAAAUUGAAGAAAUCGACGUACUUGUGACUUUCUGUUGUUGAUUGUAAUUUAUAAUGUUGUAAUCUAUUUAGUGUUAAGUGUUAGGGUAUGGAAGCCUUUUAUUUCGGUUAUUUAUCGAAUAAUUGAAUUAUAAAUUCGAUUAUUCGGUAAUUUGGUUAUUAGCUAAUUCGGUUAACAGUUCGGAUACUAAAAAUGCGUUAAUUUUGAUUUUCGGUUAUAACCGAAUAAUUUAUUCGGUUCGAUUAUAAUUGAAUGCUCACUCCUACUUUAAGGCGCACUGGAAAAAAAAUUAUUUUAUAAUAUAUGAUAAAUUUAGAAGAAAUUUUAGUGUAAUGAAUAAAUUAGUCCCACUGAAAUUUUAUAAAAUUUUUAAUAUACGGGGUCAAAUUGAAUUUUUUAUAACUUUCUCAA
RNAcentral lists this long non-coding RNA (3200 nucleotides) under Panax ginseng (ginseng). RNAcentral describes it as "long non-coding RNA (PGIN_LNC007769)". The record is from RNAcentral. Lineage: Eukaryota; Viridiplantae; Streptophyta; Magnoliopsida; Apiales; Araliaceae.